RNAcentral lists this ribosomal RNA (253 nucleotides) under uncultured bacterium. RNAcentral's name for it is "partial 16S ribosomal RNA". It matches the Rfam family "Bacterial small subunit ribosomal RNA", at positions 524 to 776 of the family's 1533-position model. The record is from RNAcentral.
UACGUAGGGCGCAAGCGUUAUCCGGAAUUAUUGGGCGUAAAGAGCUCGUAGGCGGUCUGUCGCGUCGGAUGUGAAAACCCAGGGCUCAACCCUGGGCCUGCAUUCGAUACGGGCAGACUAGAGUUCGGUAGGGGAGACUGGAAUUCCUGGUGUAGCGGUGAAAUGCGCAGGUAUCAGGAGGAACACCGGUGGCGAAGGCGGGUCUCUGGGCCGAAACUGACGCUGAGGAGCGAAAGCGUGGGGAGCAAACAGG